This 1159-nucleotide ribosomal RNA is filed under the name Lysinibacillus sphaericus. RNAcentral describes it as "bacterial SSU rRNA". It matches the Rfam family "Bacterial small subunit ribosomal RNA", at positions 185 to 1338 of the family's 1533-position model. The record is from RNAcentral. Lineage: Bacteria; Bacillati; Bacillota; Bacilli; Caryophanales; Bacillaceae.
ACCUCAUGGUGAAAUAUUGAAAGACGGUUUCGGCUGUCGCUAUAGGAUGGGCCCGCGGCGCAUUAGCUAGUUGGUGAGGUAACGGCUCACCAAGGCGACGAUGCGUAGCCGACCUGAGAGGGUGAUCGCCACACUGGGACUGAGACACGGCCCAGACUCCUACGGGAGGCAGCAGUAGGGAAUCUUCCACAAUGGGCGAAAGCCUGAUGGAGCAACGCCGCGUGAGUGAAGAAGGAUUUCGGUUCGUAAAACUCGUUGUAAGGGAAGAACAAGUACAGUAGUAACUGGCUGUACCUUGACGGUACCUUAUUAGAAAGCCACGGCUAACUACGUGCCAGCAGCCGCGGUAAUACGUAGGUGGCAAGCGUUGUCCGGAAUUAUGGGCGUAAAGCGCGCGCAGGUGGUUUCUUAAGUCUGAUGUGAAAGCCCACGGCUCAACCGUGGAGGGUCAUUGGAAACUGGGAGACUUGAGUGCAGAAGAGGAUAGUGGAAUUCCAAGUGUAGCGGUAAAUGCGUAGAGAUUUGGAGGAACACCAGUGGCGAAGGCGACUAUCUGGUCUGUAACUGACACUGAGGCGCGAAAGCGUGGGGAGCAAACAGGAUUAGAUACCCUGGUAGUCCACGCCGUAAACGAUAGUGCUAAGUGUUAGGGGGUUUCCGCCCCUUAGUGCUGCAGCUAACGCAUUAAGCACUCCGCCUGGGGAGUACGGUCGCAAGACUGAAACUCAAAGGAAUUGACGGGGGCCCGCACAAGCGGUGGAGAUGUGGUUUAAUUCGAAGCAACGCGAAGAACCUUACCAGGUCUUGACAUCCCGUUGACCACUGUAGAGAUAUGGUUUCCCCUUCGGGGGCAACGGUGACAGGUGGUGCAUGGUUGUCGUCAGCUCGUUCGUGAGAUGUUGGGUUAAGUCCCGCAACGAGCGCAACCCUUGAUCUUAGUUGCCAUCAUUUAGUUGGGCACUCUAAGGUGACUGCCGGUGACAAACCGGAGGAAGGUGGGGAUGACGUCAAAUCAUAUGCCCCUUAUGACCUGGGCUACACACGUGCUACAAUGGACGAUACAAACGGUUGCCAACUCGCGAGAGGGAGCUAAUCCGAUAAAGUCGUUCUCAGUUCGGAUUGUAGGCUGCAACUCGCCUACAUAAGCCGGAAUCGCUAG